RNAcentral lists this small RNA (70 nucleotides) under Flavobacterium xanthum. RNAcentral describes it as "Flavo-1 RNA". It matches the Rfam family "Flavo-1 RNA". The record is from RNAcentral. Lineage: Bacteria; Pseudomonadati; Bacteroidota; Flavobacteriia; Flavobacteriales; Flavobacteriaceae.
UAUUUGCGUGAAGGAUUGUAGCGGCAUCCCUCGCUUUUUAGCGAGGAUACAGCGAAAAGCCUGACCCUUG